GACGAACGCUGGCGGCGUGCUUAACACAUGCAAGUCGAACGGAAAGGCCCUGCUUUUGUGGGGUGCUCGAGUGGCGAACGGGUGAGUAUCACGUGAGUAACCUGCCCUUGACUUUGGGAUAACUUCAGGAAACUGGGGCUAAUACCGGAUAGGAGCUCCUGCUGCAUGGUGGGGGUUGGAAAGUUUCGGCGGUUGGGGAUGGACUCGCGGCUUAUCAGCUUGUUGGUGGGGUAGUGGCUUACCAAGGCUUUGACGGGUAGCCGGCCUGAGAGGGUGACCGGCCACAUUGGGACUGAGAUACGGCCCAGACUACUACGGGAGGCAGCAGUGGGGAAUAUUGCACAAUGGGCGGAAGCCUGAUGCAGCAACGCCGCGUGCGGGAUGACGGCCUUCGGGUUGUAAACCGCUUUCGCCUGUGACGAAGCGUGAGUGACGGUAAUGGGUAAAGAAGCACCGGCUAACUACGUG
This 468-nucleotide ribosomal RNA is filed under the name uncultured bacterium. RNAcentral describes it as "partial 16S ribosomal RNA". It matches the Rfam family "Bacterial small subunit ribosomal RNA", at positions 28 to 507 of the family's 1533-position model. The record is from RNAcentral.